Molecule: ribosomal RNA, 374 nt
Filed under: uncultured bacterium
Lineage: Bacteria
Description: bacterial SSU rRNA
Rfam family: Bacterial small subunit ribosomal RNA
Source: RNAcentral
AUACGUAGGGGGCGAGCGUUAUCCGGAAUUAUUGGGCGUAAAGAGUGCGUAGGUGGUUUCUUAAGCGUGGGGUGAAGGCCAUUGGCUCAACCAGUGUAAGCCCCGCGAACUGGGGGACUUGAGUGCAGGAGAGGAAAGCGGAAUUCCUAGUGUAGCGGUGAAAUGCGUAGAUAUUAGGAGGAACACCAGUGGCGAAGGCGGCUUUCUGGACUGUAACUGACACUGAGGCACGAAAGCGUGGGGAGCAAACAGGAUUAGAUACCCUGGUAGUCCACGCCGUAAACGAUGAGCACUAGGUGUCGGGGCCGCAAGGUUUCGGUGCCGCAGUUAACGCAUUAAGUGCUCCGCCUGGGGAGUACGUGCGCAAGCAUGAA